Molecule: long non-coding RNA, 1238 nt
Organism: Sapajus apella (tufted capuchin)
Lineage: Eukaryota; Metazoa; Chordata; Mammalia; Primates; Cebidae
Exons: 3
Source: RefSeq, a predicted model, not a curated record
GGCCACGGCAGCGUUGUCGUGGAGACCCAGGGAGGCUGGGUAUCGGCCGAGCAUUUGGGAGGUGGGGCCUCCGGGGCUCUAGAAGCUGGAAAGCGACGAGGAGGAGGAGGAGGAGACAAAGCAAGAGUUCUGCGCCAGGAGUGCAGGCUACGUCUCCUUGACUACGGAUUGCAUUUUUUUUUCUUGUCCUCCCUCUCCACCCCGGCAGAACUUAAGGAUCGAUGUCGGUGCCAGGAAUCAGGACGUUUGGAGCAGGGCCUGGGAUUCUGCAUUUCUCACGGGUCCGUGGAUGCUGCCAAUGCUGCCUCCCAGGGCCCAGCUAUGUCUGGGAGUAGAGAUGAAAGUUGAGCAUGUUCCUCUAAGCAAAGCACCCAGCAGAAUGUCUAGGACAUGACGAAAACUCAGGAAGUGGCUGUUGAUGAUCAUGCUGCAGCUGUUCCUGUCACUGGGCCUAGGGUCACACCCUCAGGAGGAAACCAUGAGGAAAGCUCUAACGGGCUCCCCAGUGGGAACUGCAGCCCAUGCCCCCCACCAGAGACCUCAGACUUUCUAGAUGACUACGGAGCUAUGUGGCUAUUCCCCUCGUCCACCACUCAACCAAUGUAGAAUCCAAAACGGGGCUUUCCUGGAAGACGUCUAGAGAGACUCACUCACUCAAGGGAAGGAAGAGUGGAACACCCAGACCUCAGGAAGGUUAGGCAGAGAGGAAGCAGCCAAGCCUACGGCCUGGGCACAGAACGCAGCUGGGAAAGUGUUUCUCUCCAGCUCUCACCUCUCUGUGAGGCUUCAUCGUCUCCUCCUGCAGAAUGGCUUCCUCCCCAUGGUGCAAAACAAGGCUGCCGUGAGCUUUCUAGCCUCUCACAUCUCGGCAUCUGUGCCAUAGCAGUGGACUCUCCAGAGAGAGGGAUCCAGAGAGAGCCACUGAUGGGCCAAGUUGGGUGGGACGGUGCUGUUAUAGCCACGUUCGAUUCUCUCCAGACUUACCGACACCCCCUCCACCCAAUUUUAUUCGGUCUCAAGGAUUUAAAUUCCAUCUAGAUGCUGAUGCAUCCCUGAAAGGGAGCUUUGCCGUUUUUACUGCCUAGCAUCUGAAAACUGUAAUAGUUAGGGAAGAGUGAAGCUACUGUAAUAAAUCCACAGAUGGUAAUGGCACAUCACAUUAGAGGGGUACUUCUUUUUUCCUUAAAAACAUUUUAAAUUGUAGAAAGACAUAUAAAUAUAUAUAACACAAAAUUAAA